ACAGCCGUACCAUGCUGAAUAUACCGGUUCUCGUUAGAUCACCGAAGUCAAGCAUCAUUGGGCGCGGUCAGUACUUGGGUGGGUGACCAUCUGGGAACACUGCGUGC
RNAcentral lists this ribosomal RNA (107 nucleotides) under Caerostris darwini. Lineage: Eukaryota; Metazoa; Arthropoda; Arachnida; Araneae; Araneidae. The record is from RNAcentral.